AUUGAACGCUGGCGGCAGGCCUAACACAUGCAAGUCGAACGGUAACAGGAAGCAGCUUGCUGCUUCGCUGACGAGUGGCGGACGGGUGAGUAAUGUCUGGGCAACUGCCUGAUGGAGGGGGAUAACUACUGGAAACGGUAGCUAAUACCGCAUAACGUCGCAAGACCAAAGAGGGGGACCUUAGGGCCUCUUGCCAUCGGAUGUGCCCAGAUGGGAUUAGCUAGUAGGUGGGGUAACGGCUCACCUAGGGGACGAUCCCUAGCUGGUGUGAGAGGAUGACCAGCCACACUGGAACUGAGACACGGUCCAGACUCCUACGGGAGGCAGCAGUGGGGAAUAUUGGACAAUGGGGGCAAGCCUGAUGCAGCCAUGCCGCGUGUAUGAAGAAGGCCUUCGGGUUGUAAAGUACUUUCAGCGGGGAGGAAGGGAGUAAAGUUAAUACCUUGGCUCAUUGACGUUACCCGCAGAAGAAGCACCGGCUAACUCCGUG
This 490-nucleotide ribosomal RNA is filed under the name uncultured bacterium. RNAcentral describes it as "partial 16S ribosomal RNA". It matches the Rfam family "Bacterial small subunit ribosomal RNA", at positions 30 to 507 of the family's 1533-position model. The record is from RNAcentral.